GACGAACGCUGGCGGCACGCUUAACACAUGCAAGUCGAACGAGGUUCAUGGAGCUUGCUCCAGAAGACCUAGUGGCGAACGGGUGCGUAACACGUGAGAAACCUGCCCUGAACUUGGGAAUAACAGUCGGAAACGACUGCUAAUACCGAAUAUCUUCACGACGUCGCAUGGCGAUGUGAAGAAAGCUUUUGCGGUUCAGGAGGGUCUCGCGGCCUAUCAGCUUGUUGGUGAGGUAACGGCUCACCAAGGCAUCGACGGGUAGCUGGUCUGAGAGGAUGAUCAGCCACACUGGGACUGAGACACGGCCCAGACUCCUACGGGAGGCAGCAGUGGGGAAUAUUGCACAAUGGGCGCAAGCCUGAUGCAGCGAUGCCGCGUGCGGGAUGAAGGCC
RNAcentral lists this ribosomal RNA (392 nucleotides) under uncultured bacterium. RNAcentral describes it as "bacterial SSU rRNA". It matches the Rfam family "Bacterial small subunit ribosomal RNA", at positions 28 to 416 of the family's 1533-position model. The record is from RNAcentral.